GCCUCGGUAGCAGGUUCUUUCUCUCUAUUGUUUUUUCUUAUUUCAUUUCCAUUUCUGUUUUCUUUCAUGCAUGCUUUUUUCUGUUUUUAUUUUCGUUAAUUCUCUUUGAAACCAACAAUUGCAUUUGCUUGUCAAGAAACAGAAUUAUUCCUUUCUGUUUUCCUUCAUACAGAAGAUUAUGGUGACUGACGAGAUUAUUAAUUACCUUGGCAUUAUAUACAAUAGACGAUUACCUAAUGGUUUCUGAUGGGAUGAUUUUUCUUUUCUUUUUUCCUUAAUGUGGGUCCGAUAUUAUAUGAAGGUUGGCAGUGGAUUGAAUAUUUAUUAUGUUUAUAUAGCUGAUCGAUCACCUAAUGAGUAAUGGCUAAUGCCAUCAUCUCUGUCGUUAAACAAGCUUACUUUUUGCAGACAAUUUAACAAUUAGUCAUCGUUUUUCCUUUAUCUUUUUUGUUUUUCUUUUACCCCAGAUUGCCUGUGAUAUGAGUUCUGACCAUGGUUCUUCUCUAAAUUCUGUGUUUCUAAUUGGGAAUUCUUGUUGUUGCCCUUUUACUAAUGAAGAAACCAGAAGACAUUU
RNAcentral lists this unclassified non-coding RNA (574 nucleotides) under Hevea brasiliensis (rubber tree). Lineage: Eukaryota; Viridiplantae; Streptophyta; Magnoliopsida; Malpighiales; Euphorbiaceae. The record is from RNAcentral.